This 265-nucleotide ribosomal RNA is filed under the name uncultured bacterium. RNAcentral describes it as "partial 16S ribosomal RNA". It matches the Rfam family "Bacterial small subunit ribosomal RNA", at positions 793 to 1055 of the family's 1533-position model. The record is from RNAcentral.
GUCCACGCCGUAAACGGUGGAUGCUGGAUGUGGGGACCAUUCCACGGUCUCCGUGUCGGAGCCAACGCGUUAAGCAUCCCGCCUGGGGAGUACGGCCGCAAGGCUAAAACUCAAAGAAAUUGACGGGGGCCCCGCACAAGCGGCGGAGCAUGCGGAUUAAUUCGAUGCAACGCGAAGAACCUUACCUGGGCUUGACAUGUUCCCGACAGCCCCAGAGAUGGGGCCUCCCUUCGGGGCGGGUUCACAGGUGGUGCAUGGUCGUCGU